Molecule: ribosomal RNA, 466 nt
Filed under: uncultured bacterium
Lineage: Bacteria
Description: partial 16S ribosomal RNA
Rfam family: Bacterial small subunit ribosomal RNA
Source: RNAcentral
GAUGAACGCUGGCGGCGUGCUUACCACAUGCAAGUCGAACGGUGAAGCAGAGCUUGCUCUGUGGAUCAGUGGCGAACGGGUGAGUAACACGUGAGCAACCUGCCCCUGACUCUGGGAUAAGCGCUGGAAACGGCGUCUAAUACUGGAUAUGAGCUGCGACCGCAUGGUCAGCAGUUGGAAAGAUUUUUCGGUCUGGGAUGGGCUCACGGCCUAUCAGCUUGUUGGUGAGGUAAUGGCUCACCAAGGCGUCGACGGGUAGCCGGCCUGAGAGGGUGACCGGCCACACUGGGACUGAGACACGGCCCAGACUCCUACGGGAGGCAGCAGUGGGGAAUAUUGCACAAUGGGCGAAAGCCUGAUGCAGCAACGCCGCGUGAGGGAUGACGGCCUUCGGGUGGUAAACCUCUUUUAGCAGGGAAGAAGCGAAAGUGACGGUACCUGCAGAAAAAGCGCCGGCUAACUACGU